GGGCUAUAGCUCAGCUGGGAGAGCGCCUGCCUUGCAAGCAGGAGGUCAGCGGUUCGAUCCCGC
Molecule: transfer RNA, 63 nt
Filed under: Paenibacillus sp. SSG-1
Lineage: Bacteria; Bacillati; Bacillota; Bacilli; Caryophanales; Paenibacillaceae
Description: tRNA-Ala
Rfam family: tRNA
About the family: Transfer RNA (tRNA) molecules are approximately 80 nucleotides in length. Their secondary structure includes four short double-helical elements and three loops (D, anti-codon, and T loops).
Source: RNAcentral